This is a non-coding RNA of Populus trichocarpa (black cottonwood), 222 nucleotides long. Lineage: Eukaryota; Viridiplantae; Streptophyta; Magnoliopsida; Malpighiales; Salicaceae. The record is from Rfam.
UAUAUCUCGUGGCUUGGUUAAGGAAACCCACCUGAACCAUAGCAAAAGUAAGUCUUCAUAAGACAAUUGUCAUUGCUUAUGGACUCGAAUCUCAAUGAUCUAUCUAUGACUAGGAUGAAGUUUGGGUGAAACUAAGUAGAGGUCCAAACUGACUGAUGUUAAAGAGUCAACAAAUGAGUUGUGGUUAGGGAUGAAAUGCAACUCGAACCCAAAGCUAGCUGG